Molecule: ribosomal RNA, 1752 nt
Filed under: Monopterus albus (swamp eel)
Lineage: Eukaryota; Metazoa; Chordata; Actinopteri; Synbranchiformes; Synbranchidae
Description: SSU rRNA
Rfam family: Eukaryotic small subunit ribosomal RNA
Source: RNAcentral
CCUGGUUGAUCCUGCCAGUAGCAUAUGCUUGUCUCAAAGAUUAAGCCAUGCAAGUCUAAGUACGCACGGCCAGUACUGUGAAACUGAAUGGCUCAUUAAAUCAGUUAUGGUUCCUUUGAUCACUCUCACGUUACUUGGAUAACUGUGGCAAUUCUACAACUAAUACAUGCCAACAAGUGCUGACCUCCGGGGAUGCGUGCAUUUAUCAAACCCACAACCCAUGCGCGCAUUGGUGACUAGAUAACCUCGAGCCGAUCGCUGGCCCCCUGUGGCAGCGAUGUCUCAUUCGAAUGUCUUUCGAUGGUACUUUCUGUGCCUACCAUGGUGACCACGGGUAAUGGGGAAUCAGGGUUUGAUUCCGGAGGGGGAGAGUGAGAAAUGGCUACCAUAUCCAAGGAAGGCAGCAGGCGUGCAAAUUACCCACUCCCGACUCGGGGAGGUAGUGAUGAAAAAUAACAAUGCAGGACUCUUUCGAGGCCCUGUAAUUGGAAUGAGUACACUUUAAGUCCUUGACCAGGAUUAAUUGGAGGGCAAGUCUGGUGCCAGCAGCUGUGGUAAUUCCAGCUCCAAUGUGUAUCUUAAAGUUGCUGCAGUUAAAAAGCUCACAGUUGGAUCUCAGGAUCGAGCUGACGGUAUGCCGCAAGGUGAGCUACCAUCUGUUCCAGCCCCUGCCUCUCGGCACCCCCUUGAUGCUCUUAGCUGAGUGUCCCAUGGAGUCUGAAGCGUUUACUUUGAAAAAAUUAGUGUUCAAAGCAAACCCGUUCACCUGAAUACCGCAGCUAGGAAUAAUGGAACAGGACUCUGGUUCUAUUUUGUGGGUUUUCUCUCUGACCUGGGGCCAUGAUUAAGAGGGACGGCUGGGGGCUAGAGGUGAAAUUCUUGGACCGGUGCAAGACGGACGAAAGUAAAAGCAUUUGCCAAGAAUGUUUUCAUUAAUCAAGAACGAAAGUCGGAGUUUUUAAGAUAAUCAGAUACUGUUGUAGUUCUGACCAUAAAUGAUGCCAACUAGUGAUCUGGCGGUGUUAUCCCCAUGACCCACUGGGCAGCAUCCGAGAAACCAAAGUCUUUGGGUUCCAGGGAGUAUGGUUGCAAAACUGAAACUUAAAGAAAUUGAUGGAAGGGCCCCAGCAGGAUGGGAGCCUGCGGCUUGGGAAACCUCACCCGGCCUGGACACAGAAAGGAUUGACAGAUUGAUAGCUCUUUCUCAAUUCUGUGGUUGGUGGUGCAUGGCCAUUCUUAGUUGGUGGAGCGAUUUGUCUGGUUAAUUCCAAUAACGAACGAGGUUCAGUGUCUCCUCCCUGGCUUUGACCCUGCGCAGGCUUAACCAGAUGAACCACCUGGAGGUUGUGUCAUUGGCCUUUCCCUCCCUGUCUUUGAACCGUGGCCUCCCACUUGAAACCAUGUGACUACUCUUAGCGGUCGAUCACUCGGCUCGUGUGUCAAUGAAGAACGCAGCUAGCUGCAAGAUCUAAUGUGAAUUACUGAUCAUCGACACUUCAAACGCACAUUGCGGCCCCGGGUUCCUCACAGGGCUAUGCCUGUCUGAGGGUCAACUGGCCAUCAGUUGGGGGGGGAAAGAUGCCCCGCGUGUCCUCCCCACGACUGGGGCAGUCGCAGGUACCCGAUGCCUUCGUCCCCCCAACCGUUGAGAGGUAAAUGGCUGGGGUCCACAAAGUCUGCCCGGGGAUUCAUCUCGGUGGGCAAGGGGCAGCUGCACAUUGUGGGAGGAUCCCCUCGGCGGGACCCCUCCUC